AGCAGCCGCGGUAAUUCCAGCUCCAAUAGCGUAUAUUAAAGUUGUUGCAGUUAAAAAGCUCGUAGUUGAAUUUCGGGAUCAAUUAAUUGGUCGUGCCUCUGGUACGUACUGAUUUUAUUGGUUUCUCCCUUCUGACGAACCAUGAUGUCAUUAAUUUGGUGUCGUGGAGAAUCAGGACUGUUACUUUGAAAAAAUUAGAGUGUUUAAAGCAAGCUAACGCUUGAAUACAUUAGCAUGGAAUAAUGAAAUAGGACGUUUGAUCCUAUUUUGUUGGUUUCUAGGAUCGACGUAAUGAUUAAUAGGGAUAGUUGGGGGCAUUAGUAUUCAAUUGUCAGAGGUGAAAUUCUUGGAUUUAUUGAAGACUAACUACUGCGAAAGCAUUUGCCAAGGAUGUUUUCAUUAAUCAAGAACGAAAGUUAGGGGAUCGAAGACGAUCAGAUACCGUCGUAGUCUUAACCAUAAACUAU
RNAcentral lists this ribosomal RNA (467 nucleotides) under uncultured Glomus. Its description in RNAcentral is "SSU rRNA". It matches the Rfam family "Eukaryotic small subunit ribosomal RNA", at positions 569 to 1040 of the family's 1831-position model. The record is from RNAcentral. Lineage: Eukaryota; Fungi; Glomeromycota; Glomeromycetes; Glomerales; Glomeraceae.